This 253-nucleotide ribosomal RNA is filed under the name uncultured bacterium. RNAcentral's name for it is "partial 16S ribosomal RNA". It matches the Rfam family "Bacterial small subunit ribosomal RNA", at positions 524 to 776 of the family's 1533-position model. The record is from RNAcentral.
UACAGAGGUCCCAAGCGUUGUUCGGAUUCACUGGGCGUAAAGGGUGCGUAGGUGGUUAGGUAAGUCCGAUGUGAAAUCUCCAGGCUCAACCUGGAAAUGGCAUUGGAUACUAUCUAGCUUGAGGAGUGGAGGGGGGACUGGAAUUCUCGGUGUAGCAGUGAAAUGCGUAGAUAUCGAGAGGAACACCAGUGGCGAAGGCGGCUCACUGGCCCGAUACUGACGCUGAGGCACGAAAGCGUGGGGAGCAAACAGG